GGUUCCGGCCCCGCGUGCGUAGUUGCGCCAAGCAACCAAAAGCUAUAGGCAAAUAGGCGCCAUUUUGGUCUAAAGUAGUUUUAAACUCAAGUUUUAGCUCAUUAAGAAAUUUGUUUAGUUGAUUGUCAACUUCAGUUAACUGAACACUUAUAUAUUCUUCUAGAAUCAAUACAAAUUGUAGAAAAAACUCAAUAAUAUAGAAAUGGAUGGGCCACGGGGUGGAUUCCGAGGUGGUGGUCGCGGUGGCCCACCCGGUCUUAGAGGCCGAGGCGGAUUUGAUAUGCGUGGACGUGGUCUACCUGGUAUGCGAGGUCGCGGUGGCCCACCGCGAGGAGCUCUUGGACCACGUGGAGCACCGCGAGGCUUUAGAGGACCCAUGCGCGGCGAAAGAGGUGGUCGUUUUCCACCAGGACCUCAAGGCCCAGGUCCACAUCCAGUACCUACCAUAGAAACUAGAGUUGGUCCUCCACAACGAGGAGGUUUCAAUAAUAGAGGAGGACCAGGUGGUAUGAGAGGUCGAGGUGGUCGAGGUCGUGGUGAUUUUGGACCACGAAAUGAUAGAGGGGGCAGAGGAAUGCCUAUGAGAGGUAGAGGUGGCCGAGGAGGUCCCGGCGCACCACCUUUAAAUGGUCCACCAAUUGGUGGUCCUCCUCCACACCCAGGACUUCAUGGACCACCAGCACCAAUCCAAAGUGGUCUUCCAAAUAUCCCGCCAAGAGGAGUGCCACCACUGCAUCAAUCAAAUGCAUCAUCAAACCAGUCACAGGGACCACCAUUCAAACGGGGUGGGGGCCCUCCCCAUGGAGGAGGUGGACCACCCAAAAGAGGAAGGUUUGAUGGUCCGCGCGGAGGAGGAGCGAGGCAGCCGCCUCCGGGCGCCUACUCUGCGCCGCCAGCACACAACCCGCCACAGGCCAACGGCUAUGGACCCCCAGCGCACACAGGUUACCAACAAUAUGAACAACCUCCCGCAGAGCCGUUCCCACAACCAUCAUAUAAUGCUUCAAGCUCGUACCAAAGCGGCGGCAACUAUUCGACGCCGGCGCCUGCGCCUGCCAGCUCAUAUUCCAGUAAUUACGGAUCAAACUAUGGCUAUUCCACUAGUGGACAAGGUUACGAAAAUAAUGGAUACAGCGCGGGCGCUGCAGGCGGUGCUGGUGACGCGGGCUAUGGUGCCGCGGAGCCUGCGUACGGCGGCGCCGCGCCCGCAUACGAUUCGUACUCGCAGCCCGCGUACUCCUCGUACCAGCAGCCGCAGCAGUACACCAAUACAUAUGGAUAUGGAUGACAUAACUUGAACAGCAAUCUCAUAUUUGUGUAUCAACUCCCGGUAAUGCUGGACGGAAUGAAGAUAACUUGAAAACUUUACACCACAAAGGUAACGACCCACUGGAGAAAAGGUGACCACUAAAAUAAAUUGAAGGAAAACAAAGGAGUAAUUGAUGUUAUUUGAAAAGUGUAUGAAAUAAACAAAA
Molecule: RNA transcript, 1475 nt
Organism: Papilio machaon (common yellow swallowtail)
Lineage: Eukaryota; Metazoa; Arthropoda; Insecta; Lepidoptera; Papilionidae
Gene name: collagen alpha-1(III) chain
Exons: 10
Source: RefSeq, a predicted model, not a curated record